AAAUCCCCUACCAAUAAAAGUAAAUAUUUUAAAAAGCAUCUCAUUUUGUGAUAAAAAUUGAAUAUGUAAAUUUUAGACGAUAGAACGUAAUAAUUCUGUCGUUUUUUUG
This 109-nucleotide small RNA is filed under the name Megasphaera sp. UPII 135-E. Its description in RNAcentral is "Streptococcus sRNA SpF39". It matches the Rfam family "Streptococcus sRNA SpF39". The record is from Rfam by way of RNAcentral. Lineage: Bacteria; Bacillati; Bacillota; Negativicutes; Veillonellales; Veillonellaceae.